UGGGGAAUUUUGGACAAUGGGGGCAACCCUGAUCCAGCGACGCCGCGUGGAGGGCGAAGGUCUUCGGAUUGUAAACUCCUUUUGGAGGGGAUGAAUGCCCUGGUGAAAAACCAGGGGUGACAGUACUCUCUGAAUAAGCCACGGCUAACUACGUGCCAGCAGCCGCGGUAAUACGUAGGUGGCAAGCGAUACUCGGAAUCACUAGGCGUAAAGCGCAGGUAGGCGGUUUGAUAAGUCUCUUGUGAAAGCUCCCGGCUUAACUGGGAGAGGUCAAGGGAAACUGUCAGGCUAGAGUGUGGCAGAGGAAGCUAGAAUUCCCGGUGUAGCGGUGAAAUGCGUAGAUAUCGGGAGGAAUACCUAUGGCGAAAGCAGGCUUCUGGGCUAUCACUGACGCUGAUCUGCGAAAGCUAGGGGAGCAAAC
Molecule: ribosomal RNA, 421 nt
Filed under: uncultured bacterium
Lineage: Bacteria
Description: bacterial SSU rRNA
Rfam family: Bacterial small subunit ribosomal RNA
Source: RNAcentral